UUUGGCCUGCUUUUGGGAUCUGCAUUAGACCCUUGUGUUCAGGUCAAAUGACAGGUAGCUGUCAACUGCCAGGUGCAUUUUGAGUAGUUGCAGUAGUCCCUAACUAUGAAAGUGACUUGCAGUGUAGUCAGCAGCCUAGACGCCAUGCAGAAUGAUGUGGUACUUUCUAUAGCACAUGUUUACACGCUGGCUGCCUGCAUAGAGCAUGUGGUUGCAUACUGUGAUACCCGACAAUGCUCUAUUUUACAGUUUAAAAUCCC
This is a non-coding RNA of Pelobates cultripes (western spadefoot toad), 260 nucleotides long. The record is from the annotation of a GenBank genome assembly. NCBI's taxonomy places the organism in Eukaryota, Metazoa, Chordata, Amphibia, Anura, Pelobatidae.